UACGUAGGGGGCAAGCGUUGUCCGGAUUUAUUGGGCGUAAAGAGCGUGUAGGCGGCCAUACAGGUCAGCUGUGAAAACUCGAGGCUCAACCUCGAGACGUCGGUUGAAACCGUAUGGCUAGAGUCCGGAAGAGGAGAGUGGAAUUCCCAGUGUAGAGGUGAAAUUCGUAGAUAUCGGGAGGAACACCAGUGGCGAAGGCGGCGAUCUGGGAAGAUACUGACGCUGAGGUGCGAAAGCGUGGGGAGCAAACAGG
This 253-nucleotide ribosomal RNA is filed under the name uncultured bacterium. RNAcentral's name for it is "partial 16S ribosomal RNA". It matches the Rfam family "Bacterial small subunit ribosomal RNA", at positions 524 to 776 of the family's 1533-position model. The record is from RNAcentral.